This 367-nucleotide ribosomal RNA is filed under the name uncultured organism. RNAcentral's name for it is "bacterial LSU rRNA". It matches the Rfam family "Bacterial large subunit ribosomal RNA", at positions 2099 to 2465 of the family's 2925-position model. The record is from RNAcentral.
CUUUACUGUAGCCUGGUAUUGGGUUCGGGCUUUGACUGCGCAGGAUAGGUGGGAGACUGAGAAGUGUGCCUUGUGGGCACAUGGAGUCAACGGUGAGAUACCACUCUGUCAGAGCUAGAAUUCUAACCUUCACCCGUGAUCCGGGGAAGGAACCGUAUCAGGUGGGCAGUUUGACUGGGGCGGUCGCCUCCUAAAAGGUAACGGAGGCGCGCAAAGGUGUUCUCAGGCUGGUUGGAAAUCAGCCGUAGAGUGUAAAGGCAGAAGAACGCUUGACUGUGAGAGUGACAACUCAAGCAGGGUGGAAACACGGCCUUAGUGAUCCGACGGUAUGCGCGUGGAAGUGCCGUCGCUCAACGGAUAAAAGUUA